GAUGAACGCUGGCGGCGUGCCUAAUACAUGCAAGUCGAGCGGACGGACGAGAAGCUUGCUUUUCUGAUGUUAGCGGCGGACGGGUGAGUAACACGUGGAUAACCUACCUAUAAGACUGGGAUAACUUCGGGAAACCGGAACUAAUACCGGAUAAUAUUUUGAACCGCAUGGUUCAAAAGUGAAAGACGGUCUUGCUGUCACCUAUAGAUGGAUCCGCGCUGCAUUAGCUAGUUGGUAAGGUAACGGCUUACCAAGGCAACGAUGCAUAGCCGACCUGAGAGGGUGAUCGGCCACACUGGAACUGAGACACGGUCCAGACUCCUACGGGAGGCAGCAGUAGGGAAUCUUCCGCAAUGGGCGAAAGCCUGACGGAGCAACGCCGCGUGAGUGAUGAAGGUCUUCGGAUCGUAAAACUCUGUUAUUAGGGAAGAACAUAUGUGUAAGUAACUGUGCACAUCUUGACGGUACCUAAUCAGAAAGCCACGGCUAACUACGUG
This 497-nucleotide ribosomal RNA is filed under the name uncultured bacterium. RNAcentral's name for it is "partial 16S ribosomal RNA". It matches the Rfam family "Bacterial small subunit ribosomal RNA", at positions 28 to 507 of the family's 1533-position model. The record is from RNAcentral.